GACGAACGCUGGCGGCGUGCUUAACACAUGCAAGUCGAACGGAAAGGCCCCUUUGGGGGUACUCGAGUGGCGAACGGGUGAGUAACACGUGAGUAACCUGCCCUUGACUUCGGGAUAACUUCAGGAAACUGGGGCUAAUACCGGAUAGGAAUCCUUGCUGCAUGGUGGGGGUUGGAAAGCUUCGGCGGUUUUGGAUGGACUCGCGGCUUAUCAGCUUGUUGGUGGGGUAGUGGCUUACCAAGGCUGUGACGGGUAGCCGGCCUGUGAGGGCGACCGGCCACAUUGGGACUGAGAUACGGCCCAGACUCCUACGGGAGGCAGCAGUGGGGAAUAUUGCACAAUGGGCGGCAGCCUGAUGCAGCAACGCCGCGUGCGGGAUGACGGCCUUCGGGUUGUAAACCGCUUUCAGCAGGGGCGAAGCUUGUGGUGACGGUACCUGCAGAAGAAGCACCGGCUAACUACGUG
RNAcentral lists this ribosomal RNA (465 nucleotides) under uncultured bacterium. Its description in RNAcentral is "partial 16S ribosomal RNA". It matches the Rfam family "Bacterial small subunit ribosomal RNA", at positions 28 to 507 of the family's 1533-position model. The record is from RNAcentral.